RNAcentral lists this transfer RNA (73 nucleotides) under Prototheca zopfii. RNAcentral describes it as "tRNA-His". It matches the Rfam family "tRNA". Rfam says of the family: Transfer RNA (tRNA) molecules are approximately 80 nucleotides in length. Their secondary structure includes four short double-helical elements and three loops (D, anti-codon, and T loops). Further hydrogen bonds mediate the characteristic L-shaped molecular structure. tRNAs have two regions of fundamental functional importance: the anti-codon, which is responsible for specific mRNA codon recognition, and the 3' end, to which the tRNAs corresponding amino acid is attached (by aminoacyl-tRNA synthetases). tRNAs cope with the degeneracy of the genetic code in two manners: having more than one tRNA (with a specific anti-codon) for a particular amino acid; and 'wobble' base-pairing, i.e. permitting non-standard base-pairing at the 3rd anti-codon position. RNAcentral also lists the same sequence under 1 other name. The record is from RNAcentral. Lineage: Eukaryota; Viridiplantae; Chlorophyta; Trebouxiophyceae; Chlorellales; Chlorellaceae.
GGUGGAUAUAGCCAAUAGGUACGGCAGUGGAUUGUGGUUCCAUAAUAUGCGGGUUCAAAUCCCGUUAUUCACC